UCCUACGGGAGGCAGCAGUGGGGAAUAUUGCACAAUGGGCGCAAGCCUGAUGCAGCAACGCCGCGUGAGGGACGAAGGCCUUCGGGUUGUAAACCUCUUUUAGUAGGGAAGAAGCGACUGGGUUUUCCUGGGAGUGACGGUACCUGCAGAAAAAGCACCGGCUAACUACGUGCCAGCAGCCGCGGUAAUACGUAGGGUGCAAGCGUUGUCCGGAAUUAUUGGGCGUAAAGAGCUCGUAGGCGGUUUGUCGCGUCUGCUGUGAAAACCCGAGGCUCAACCUCGGGCCUGCAGUGGGUACGGGCAGACUAGAGUGCGGUGGGGGAGGUUGGAAUUCCUGGUGUAGCGGUGGAAUGCGCAGAUAUCAGGAGGAACACCAAUGGCGAAGGCAGAUCUCUGGGCCGUAACUGACGCUGAGGAGCGAAAGCAUGGGGAGCGAACAGGAUUAGAUACCCUGGUAGUCCAUGCCGUAAACGUUGGGAACUAGAUGUGGGGACCAUUCCACGGUCUCCGUGUCGCAGCUAACGCAUUAAGUUCCCCGCCUGGGGAGUACGGCCGCAAGGCUAAAACUCAAAGGAAUUGACGGGGGCCCGCACAAGCGGCGGAGCAUGCGGAUUAAUUCGAUGCAACGCGAAGAACCUUACCAAGGCUUGACAUAUACCGGAAACGGCUGGAAACAGUCGCCCCGCAAGGUCGGUAUACAGGUGGUGCAUGGUUGUCGUCAGCUCGUGUCGUGAGAUGUUGGGUUAAGUCCCGCAACGAGCGCAACCCUCGUCCUAUGUUGCCAGCACGUAAUGGUGGGAACUCAUGGGAUACUGCCGGGGUCAACUCGGAGGAAGGUGGGGAUGACGUCAAAUCAUCAUGCCCCUUAUGUCUUGGGCUUCACGCAUGCUACAAUGGCCGGUACAAAGGGCUGCGAUACCGCAAGGUGGAGCGAAUCCCAAAAAGCCGGUCUCAGUUCGGAUUGAGGUCUGCAACUCGACCUCAUGAAGUCGGAGUCGCUAGUAAUCGCAGAUCAGCAACGCUGCGGUGAAUACGUUCCCGGGCCUUGUACACACCGCC
This 1059-nucleotide ribosomal RNA is filed under the name uncultured Cryobacterium sp. Its description in RNAcentral is "bacterial SSU rRNA". It matches the Rfam family "Bacterial small subunit ribosomal RNA", at positions 337 to 1394 of the family's 1533-position model. The record is from RNAcentral. Lineage: Bacteria; Bacillati; Actinomycetota; Actinomycetes; Micrococcales; Microbacteriaceae.